GCGUGCUUAACACAUGCAAGUCGUACGAGAACGCUUCAGCUUGCUGAAGCUAGUAAAGUGGCGUACGGGUGAGUAACGCGUGGGUAAUCUACCUUCGAAUUGGGGAUAACGUUGCGAAAGUGACGCUAAUACCGGAUAAUAUCAUAGAGACCUUGGUUUUUAUGAUCAAAGAUGGCCUCUCCUUGGAAGCUAUUGUUUGGAGAUGAGCCCGCGUCCCAUUAGCUUGUUGGUGGGGUAAUGGCCUACCAAGGCAACGAUGGGUAGCUGGUCUGAGAGGAUGAUCAGCCACACUGGAACUGACACACGGUCCAGACUCCUACGGGAGGCAGCAGUGAGGAAUUUUGCGCAAUGGGGGAAACCCUGACGCAGCAACGCCGCGUGAGUGAUGAAGGCUUUCGGGUCGUAAAGCUCUGUCAAGUGGGAAGAACUCCCGUGAGGUUAAUACCCUCAUGGUUUGACGGUACCACUGAAGGAAGCACCGGCUAACUCCGUGCCAGCAGCCGCGGUAAUACGGGGGGUGCAAGCGUUAUUCGGAUUUACUGGGCGUAAAGCGCGCGUAGGCGGCCGUUUAAGUCAGAUGUGAAAGCCCGGGGCUCAACCCCGGAAGUGCAUUUGAUACUAUUCGGCUUGAGUAUGGGAGAGGGAAGUGGAAUUCCUGGUGUAGAGGUGAAAUUCGUAGAUAUCAGGAGGAACACCGGUGGCGAAGGCGACUUCCUGGACCAAUACUGACGCUCAGGGGCGAAGGCGUGGGUAGCAAACAGGAUUAGAUACCCUGGUAGUCCACGCAGUAAACGGUGAUCACUAGGUGUAGCGGGUAUUGACCCCUGCUGUGCCGCAGCUAACGCAUUAAGUGAUCCGCCUGGGGAGUACGGCCGCAAGGUUUAAACUCAAAGGAAUUGACGGGGGCCCGCACAAGCGGUGGAGCAUGUGGUUUAAUUUGACGCAACGCGAAGAACCUUACCUGGAUUUGACAUCUCGGGAAUUUCUAUGAAAGUAGGAAGUGCCCUUCGGGGAGCCCGAUUACAGGUGCUGCAGG
RNAcentral lists this ribosomal RNA (1036 nucleotides) under uncultured delta proteobacterium. Its description in RNAcentral is "bacterial SSU rRNA". It matches the Rfam family "Bacterial small subunit ribosomal RNA", at positions 42 to 1047 of the family's 1533-position model. Lineage: Bacteria; Deltaproteobacteria. The record is from RNAcentral.